Molecule: long non-coding RNA, 968 nt
Filed under: Cricetulus griseus (Chinese hamster)
Lineage: Eukaryota; Metazoa; Chordata; Mammalia; Rodentia; Cricetidae
Description: lncRNA (ENSCGRG00015033669.1)
Source: RNAcentral
GUAGACAGGGAGAAUUGAGAUGUGAUAUUUUUAGCAUAUCCACUUGGACUGCUUUUCUGAAAACUAUAACUAGCAUUCAUUCAUUCAUUCAUUCAUUGUGUAUUUGUAACAUGAGUAGGAUGAGUUAAGGGAGAGAAUUAACACUGAUUUAGACUCUGUACACUAUGCUUUCUGUUGCUAUGUUUCAAUUACUUUUUAUUUUUAACAUAAUUUUCACCAUAAACCAUGCCUUUAUUUUGAUGAUUGUUUUAUAUGGCAGUGUUUACAGAAUCUGUUCACCAAUGACUUUGACUUUUAUUUCUCACUGUUCUUUCCAACUUUAAGGGGAAAGCCUCUUCCCCGGGAUGACUGUGACAUUGCUGGGAUUUUCUACUUAGUGGACGGAAGUCACAUUAAGUUACAGAACUAUGGUUAGCCACUUAAACUCCCUGGUUUCGUGCAAAGGCCUGGCUUACUUUACUGGAAAACAUAUUUCUCCUUUCCCUGACUAGGGCAACAUGGGCAGCAUACAGCAGGGGAGAGGAAGCCCACUUCUUCUACUCCCUAACUGCGGGGCUGACCAUUUUGUAUUGGAUAACCAGUUGGUGUUUUCUUCCCUGGAGAAGACUGAUUUUCCCACUCAGCUUUCCUUACCUGCCCUGAAUAAAACAUAAACACCAGGGAACACGUUGAUGCAACUGAGAAGUAUAAAAGUUGGAAGUCAGAAGAGUCAGUGAGAGUCCCUCUCAGACAAGCCAAGGUGAAAAGACCACUCAAGACCAGACAAGCUGCCUGGAAGAUGUUUAGACCUACUGAGGCAUAUGGAAAGGAUACUCUGCAACUUGUUGAUCUGAUUACAGGCUGUGCAGUGUGCUCCAGGCUCCCUGCUUUUGUGAGCUGUCAACCAUGCUGGGGUGGGCUUUGGUGAUGCAGCUGUCUCUGAAUUAUUUCUGCUUCUACAAGUAAUCUCUCACCUAUAUUACUCUAAG